GGCGAUGUGGCGGAACUGGCAGACGCGCGCGACUCAAAAUCGCGUUUCUUCGGAAGUGUGGGUUCGAUUCCCACCAUCGCCACCA
This 85-nucleotide transfer RNA is filed under the name Salicibibacter halophilus. RNAcentral describes it as "tRNA-Leu". It matches the Rfam family "tRNA". Rfam says of the family: Transfer RNA (tRNA) molecules are approximately 80 nucleotides in length. Their secondary structure includes four short double-helical elements and three loops (D, anti-codon, and T loops). Lineage: Bacteria; Bacillati; Bacillota; Bacilli; Caryophanales; Bacillaceae. The record is from RNAcentral.